UGAACGCUAGCGGUAUGCUUAACACAUGCAAGUCGUACGGGAGUUUUUAACUCAAGUGGCGGACGGGUGAGUAACACGUGAGAAUUUACCUUUAGGAGGGGGAUAACAAUUGGAAACGAUUGCUAAUACCCCAUAUGCUUUUUUUAAGUGAAACGGAUUUAUUCGCCUAAAGAAAAGCUCGCGGCUGAUUAGCUAGUUGGUAAGGUAAUGGCUUACCAAGGCGACGAUCAGUAUCUGGUUUGAGAGGAUGAUCAGACACACUGGAACUGAGACACGGUCCAGACUCCUACGGGAGGCAGCAGUGGGGAAUUUUCCGCAAUGGGCGAAAGCCUGACGGAGCAAUACCGCGUGAGGGAAGACUGCCUAUGGGUUGUAAACCUCUUUUUUCAGGGAGGAAUAAAAUGACGUGUACCUGAAGAAUAAGCAUCGGCUAACUCCGUGCCAGCAG
This 448-nucleotide ribosomal RNA is filed under the name uncultured bacterium. RNAcentral's name for it is "bacterial SSU rRNA". It matches the Rfam family "Bacterial small subunit ribosomal RNA", at positions 30 to 514 of the family's 1533-position model. The record is from RNAcentral.